GCCGAGGUGGCGGAAUCGGUAGACGCGCUAGCUUCAGGUGCUAGUGAGCAUACGCUCGUGGAGGUUCAAGUCCUCUCCUCGGCACCA
RNAcentral lists this transfer RNA (87 nucleotides) under Salifodinibacter halophilus. RNAcentral's name for it is "tRNA-Leu". It matches the Rfam family "tRNA". From Rfam's summary of the family: Transfer RNA (tRNA) molecules are approximately 80 nucleotides in length. Their secondary structure includes four short double-helical elements and three loops (D, anti-codon, and T loops). Further hydrogen bonds mediate the characteristic L-shaped molecular structure. tRNAs have two regions of fundamental functional importance: the anti-codon, which is responsible for specific mRNA codon recognition, and the 3' end, to which the tRNAs corresponding amino acid is attached (by aminoacyl-tRNA synthetases). tRNAs cope with the degeneracy of the genetic code in two manners: having more than one tRNA (with a specific anti-codon) for a particular amino acid; and 'wobble' base-pairing, i.e. permitting non-standard base-pairing at the 3rd anti-codon position. The record is from RNAcentral. Lineage: Bacteria; Pseudomonadati; Pseudomonadota; Gammaproteobacteria; Salinisphaerales; Salinisphaeraceae.